CCUCAUUUAAGGACUGACAGCCACUCUUGAAGGAGCUCUGGUUGCAGUUUUCUCUUUUGUGGACUUUUCCCUGUGAGCCUAUAUCUUUAGAGACAGAAUGAAGGCUUGUGUAACAAGAGGCCCUUGGAGGAUAGAGAAAGACCUUGUCCCUGCUUCAGGCUGUGAAGGGUAGUACUUGAAGAAUGCAAAUUAUUAACAUCUGCAUGAUGUGGAGGCUCAGACUUUUCAGAGGAGAGGGAUGGGAGACCGAUGUAUUCAUAUGCAAUAGAAUCCUUCCCUCACAUGGCACAAGCUUGAACACAAUUGCAGCCCUCAUGCAGGCUGUGUUUGUGGAGGUGCCUGAAAGUAGAGAUAAAAACCUCCUGUGCUUUGUCUCUUUGAGGACAAGAGAUAAAUAGGUGAAUGAUGUCACUCCUCUUCUGUGACAGGUAACCACAUUCCUCUUUAUAAUACUGUCAAUCUCAUCUUAAAGGUAAGUAGAGUUCUUAUCCUAGUGACUCAGCUCAGUUGCCUGUGCUGGAGCUUCUAAUUGAUGACAGUACAUUCCAUUUUGCAUGCUUUUAUCAGCAUUUAAGAGGGUGGGUUUUCCAUGCACCAAAGGACUGGAAACUUGCUACUAUAACAGGAUCAAGAUGUCCAGGUAUUCUUCCAACAGCAUCAAGGACUUCUUGCUAUCAUGCAUUUCUGAUUUUAUGUUUUACAGAAGCUCCAGUUAUAUGAAGAUAGUUCUAUGGAUCAAUAUGAUAAUAGUUUAGAAGUAAAUCUGUCUUUCUGUAGUAGCCAGAAACACCACCUUUUUCAUACCUCCUCCAUCUCCCAAGCCAGAAGCACCAUGAGACUUUCAGUGAAAUCCUGGGAAUGGCAAGGCUAGCACCAGAGGUGACCAGAAGUUUUGGAAUUUAAAUCCAGUAACUGUGUCUGUUAAUCUUGUAUUGGUUACAAAAAUAAAUUCCCUAAUUGAGGUGCCAUUGUCAAACCUGGAAUUCAUCAGCUCCCCCUGCAGCAGCUGGUAGGCAUUCUUUUCCAACGUAGAAAGCACCACACUGACUAUGGCAUGCCCUGGGCUCCUCUACAGUGAUGUCUCUUACAAACAUCUCCAGUGCUAAGCAAGCAGGGUGACAGUAAAGUGCUCUCUUCCUGCAGGACUCCCGUAUCAAGUACAUAAAAAAAACCAUAGUGUGUGAAAACAAUGAAAUAGCUAUAUUUAGUCAUUUCUAACUUGAAAUAGAGCUUCUGCUUGAAAUGAGUUUACUAUGAGGUCCGGUAAAAAUCAUAGAAUCAUAGAAUGGCUUGGGUUUGAAGGGACCUCAAAGAUCAUCUAAUUCCACCCUCCUGCCAUGGGCAGGGUUGUCAACCACUAAAUCAGGUGCUAGAUCAGUCUGCUCAAGGUCCCAUCCAACCUGGCUUUGAACACCUCCAGGGAUGGGACAUCCACAAGUUCUCUGGGAAACCUGUUCUAUCAUAUCACCAACCUCUGACUGAAAAAUGUUCCACCUAACAUGUAGCCCAAAUCUCUCCUCUUUUAGUUUAAAACUGUUCCUCCUUGUCCUAUCACUAUUGGACCAUGGAAAAAGUUGGUGUCCCUCCUGUUUAUAGGUUCUGCUCAAGUACUGGAUGGCCGCAGUGAGGUUUACUCAGAGCCUUCUCAUCUCCAGACUGAACAAGGCUCCUUCAACCUUUCUUCAUAGGAGAGGUGUUCCAGCCUUCUUUGUGGCCCUCCUCUGGAACUGCUCCAACAACUCCUUAUCUUUCUUAUGCUGGGAACCUCAGAUGCAGUACUCCAGAUGAGGCAUCACAAGGUCGGAGUAGAGGGGGACAAAAACCCCUCUUCUUGUGAACUCUGGCCACUCCUCUUCUGAUGCAGCCCAAGAUGUAGUUGGCCUUCCAGGCUGCAAGCACACACAGCUGGCUCAUGUCCAGCUUUUAAUCCACCAGAACCCCCAAGUCCUUCUCUGCAGGGCUGCUCUCAAUUAGUUCUUCUCCCAGUCUGCACACGUCUGGAAUUGCUGUGACUUAAGUGCAAAACCUUGCACUUCACCCUACUGAACCUCGGUAUGUUCAUGUGGGCUCACUUCUCAAGCUUAUCCAGGUCCUUCUAGAUGGCAUCCCUCCCUUCUAUUAUAUCAACUACAUCACUUAGCUAGGUGUCGUCAGCAAACUUGCUGAGGGUGCACUUGUUCCCACUGUCUAGGUCACUGAUAAAGAUGUUAAAGAGCACCUGUCCUAAGACUGACAGACAUGACUUUUCAAAUAGGAUGAAGAGUGGCUUGGCAUUACAUCAGCCACUUCCACUGGAACUCUGGGAUGCAUGUUGUCCAGCCCAAUAGGCUUGUACAUAUUCAGUCUCAUGAGACAGUCUUGGACUUCCUCUUCUCUUACAAUGAGAGGGUUUUGCUCCUCCAGCCCCUGCCUGGAGGUUCAGUGUCAUGAAAUAUGUGGGAAGCCUGACUCUCAGUGAAGACCAAGGCAGAGAACUUGUUAAGUAUCUCAGUCUUCUCCAUGUCUGUUGUAGCCAGUUCUCAUUAAUCAGAGAGGGUAUAUUCUCCUUGAUCUGUGUCUUCUGACUAGUGUACCUGUAGAAUCCCUUCUUGUGAUUUUUCACAUCCCUCACCAAAUUCAGUUCUAUGUUUCUUUUGAAAUUGUUCCUAAGCAGGAAGAGGAGAUUCAUAGAGGAUUUAGGAAAACACAUCUUCAUGUUUCAGAAUCUUUAGGCAUUUCACUGAAAUACAGAAAUGUCUGUAACAUAAUGCAUUCUGCACAACUUAUUCUUCUAAGGCAACAUAUGAUAAAUUCUACUAUAAAGCCGUAGAAAUGAUACACGAAGCUUUCUAGGAUUUACAUGUUGCUUUGCCUUUUCAAUAACUUCUCUAAAACCCCAUGUAUCAUAGUCUAAUGAUGAUCUAUAACUAACAGUGGAGAAAAGGCAUGUGAGACAUUGAGAAUUACAUUGUCAUAAUGUGGCAUAUCUAUUUCAUUCAUAUUUCAUUUAUGUAGUUCAGGCUUUAGUUUUCAAUCCAAAAAUAAGAACUGGAAUAAAUUCAAUGAGGAAUCAAAGAAAUCCCACCAAAUGACCAAAAUAUUUCCCAAAUUCCUAUUUUCAUUAUUCAUAUUUCAAGGAAUUAAGUAUUGUUGUAGUGCAAGAAAUAACUGUACUCUACUCUUAGGGUUAUGAAAUGGAUAAGCUAUUAGGAAUUUUCUAUUUCUAACUGAUUGUGAUCUCACAUCAGUAUACCUCUGCUCACUUUUAAGGAAUUACCUCAGAAUUACUCUUAUGACAAAGGAGAGCAGGCUCCUGCAAUUCUAUAACUACUCAUACUAAGCUGUUCACACAUGCCUCCCAGAGUAAGGGCUUUCAAGAGAAUAUUGUGGAAAUUAGAUUCCAGUUUUCAUCACUUCAUUUAAUCACUUACUUUGGCCUACUGAUCACUUCUGCUGCUGUGCAUGUGUUUGUCCUUGUAAGUGAGGUCAGACUUCUGGAGAAAGGAAAUGUCCUCUUCAAAGCCAGCUGAUAUUGCUUCAAGAAAAAAGAAUUUAUUGAGCACUCCACUACAUACAAAUGCCUCCUGUAUAUUUACAUGGAAACUAAAACAGAGAGCACAACAACACUAUUUGAUAAAUUCUCAACUACAGAACACUAUUUUUCAACAUAAUCACUACCAUUAACUACGCAUUUUCGGCCGCAAUGAACAAUAGCCUACACACCACCCUUGUAAAAAUUUGAACCAGUGGAGGUGACCCACUGUUUUCUAGCUGCUCUGCUAGGAAAAUGUUGCCAGUGCACUCUUCCUUUUAUCAGCCCAAACUGAUGAAAGUCAGAUGACACCACAUAUGGACCACACGGUGAGUGUGGUAGGACAGUCCAGCCAAUGUGCUCGGUGGUCUUCAAACUGGUAUGGAGCCUGGUGUUACUGUGUUGCGAGAGAUACCUUAUCUUAUUCUCUGACCUGACUCUGGAAGUUCAAGUCUUCAGCUUAGUGUCAUGAUACAGUGGUCAGAGUUAAUGGUUAGGCUGAAUUCCAGGAAAUCCAGAAGGAUCACCCCUUUCCUAUCCCAAAAGACAGUGCACAUCACUUUAACCUGUCUUGAAUAUUUUUUUCAGUGGGGAAUUCAUGUUGCUAGUCCAUGGAUUGCUGUUUUGACUCCAGCUCAUAGUGGCAACACCACAUCUCAUUACCAGUAGUGAUGCAAUCCAAGAAACUGUUACCUUCAUCCUCAUAUUGGUUCAAUAGGUCCUGAUAAAUUUGUUUAUGGUGUUCUUUCUGUCACUGUGUGAGCAUUUUUGGGACCCAAGUGGCUCAAACGUGGCAAUGUUUCAUUGUUACUACCAUUAUUUCCAACACACUGAAGCUGCAUGAUAGCUCCAUACACAGUUCCCUGCUCAUAAGCUGCCAAUAUGCAUGGACAAACUGAUCAAGAUGCUCUUCAUUUCAUGGUAUGGCAGCUGUGCAUGGCCAUUCAUUUGCACGUGGCUUGUCUUUCACAUCUCUGUCACCACUGUUGAAAUUCAUCACUCACCACCUCACUGUGCUAGUAUCCACUGUUUGGUCUCUAUAAGCAUUCAGCAAGUGUCAAUGAAUGUCAAUGAGUGCAAUUUUUUUGCAUCGAGGAAUUCAGUGACACAUCUUUACUUCAUACGUACUUCCAUGUCAGACACCAUGUUAUCAGACAGCCCUUCUGCUGCCAUCUGUUGCAUGGCAACAAAAUUUAAUGACAUUUUUUAAUGAAAUAUUUGAGGGAAGUUCAAACCACCAACAUCUGCUUCUGACCUCGUGGGCCAGCAUAAUAAGAAGAAUUACUUGCAGAGCAGCCCUUGUAAUUCUAAUCUUUCCUAAGACAAAGUUUUACUCCUAAUUAAAUUUGUUGUUGUUGUUAUUGGUUAUAGUUUCUAAGGAAAGGUGGAUUGUAGUUAAAAGAUCAUAAGCCAGAUCUUAAUUUUUUCUCCUGUCAAGAGGAAACUAACUCUUACCUAGAUGCUAUGACAAUUCAUUUUUUAAGAUUCGUAGGAAUACUCUAAGGCUCUCACUUCAAAUAUGACAUAUGGUUCUCAUCCACUAAGUAUGUAAGUUUUGUACUUAGCUCUAAGUGCUGGGAAUAGUCUCACUGAGGUGAUGAGUGUGCUUAUGUCCUUUCAGGCAUUGUGAUCGUUUUGUGCACCUUCUUCUUCUGUUAUGGAUUCCCUGAAAAAGUCACGAGUAUUUGCCACUCCGCUCUUCCCUUGUGCUCCUUUUGCCCUAUCUCAAAACGAACUUCUUAAAUGUUUUAACAGAGUUGCUAAGCUGAGAAGUGGUGUUCAGCAGUUCCUUGGCUGCACUUUGUGCACAGGGAAACACAGCAGAAGGGGCUGAAAGGUCUGAAGGUCAUUCUCACUAGCUCAUUCCUAUACAGUACAGUUAGCAUAUAAAUGACUUGCAGUAUGUAGGCCAUACAGUCAGGCACAGAAUAAUGUAGGUCAACAGAGAUCUCUGAAGUCUGGCACAUAGCGCAGGGCUAAUUCCAGUUCUAGAAAAAAGUUAUCAGGGUCUUCUCUAGUCAAGUUCUAAAUAUCCCAAUAUUUGUAUAUUAUGUACUAGUAAGUGCCAAACCAAUUAUCUCUAAUGAAAUGCAAUAGAGAUGAGCUUGAGGUUUGGAAUCAGCUAUGGUUCAGGGCUGGAGUCAGAUUUCAGAUGAUCUUAAGAUUCAGGGAUUUAGCACUGCCACCUUGGCCUUUUUAUCUAAGGAUCUCUUAUAUUACUUUAAAUGGAAAGUAGCAGUUUAACCAAUCUAGUCUGACAGAGCUGAAUCCAGCAUUUAUUAGUAUACACAGAAGAAAAGAAGUAGCUUCUGCAGUCUCUUGAUUAACUGAGCAUAAAAUGAACCACCCACACCUUUGUGUUUUAAUUAGAUGUGGAUGAAUUUGUUCAAACCACAGUUGAUGUACUGACUCCUCUACAAGUACAUUAACCACUAAGUUUUAUUUUUUCCCUGAGAAAAUCAAUUUUUCCUGAAUGGGAAUGGAAUUCAGAAGCGCUCUCAUAGUGUUUCCGUAGCCCGGAGCUUUCUGAGACACAGCUGUUACUUGGCUGUAACUUCAACUGCAAUGGCUGGUUGAACACAGACGUAGUAUUUGGUCGUUCGAUUCACUUACUGACAUAGGGGAAAGGAGAGCAGCUUGCGGUGUGGCGUGUAGAGGUGCCAGCCCGCAGGUGGGGCAUCGCUGCCCUCUGCUGGAUGCUGCCGUCCGGCGGGCUUCUUCCUCCUUUUCCUCUCACCCCCUGGGAUGGGGAUGCAACUUUGCCUCUUUUUAAUUGAGCAGAGAAAUUAUUUAUGUGUGUAUUUGCUGCAGAGGAACAGCUGCACUACAAUUUUAUCUGUGUUCCUUGAAAUUUAUUUAUGUGUCUUAAAAGUCUGUCUCAGGUGAGCUCUGAUUUCAUACCUCUGAACGCUUUGAUUUGUUUGCUGUGAAUACCUUACAACAUCACUCCUACUGAUGCUCUUGCAGAAGUUGAAGUAUGUGUAUGACAAGAGCUCAUGGAUCCAUCUUGAAUUUGAGAGAUGUGCAGGCUGGAACCAUAUCCUGCAUCACCUCCUCUCAUCUGACGAGCAAUCAUGCAGUGGGAAUAUGCAGGGGAAAUAGUGAAGUUAAGAGAGGGCACUGAAAGCAAAUGAUGUGGCAAACACUGAAAGCAAAUGAUGUUGCAAACACCUUGAGAGAGAUCUGAAGACAACUAUCCAUAAACUGUCUUCAUGGCACCUCAAGCAAAAAAAAGUAUGAAAAUCUCUAUCAUCAGAAUGUUGCCUGCGUAAGAAAGAUGUGGUAUUUAGAAACUGCAGGGAAGGUAAACCAUCUUACUUUGAACAUGGGCAGUUGUGUUGAGGUAAAAGAUCUUCAUAUUUUUUAUGAAGUUCUUUGUGGAUAAAGACAUCUACUGAGGUCUUAGGCAUCUCUGUAGAGAUUCAGAUGUGCUUGAUAGCAGUGCAAAUUUGAUGGUCUUUUUUAAAUGAGGCAUUAUGCCUGUACCAGAUAGGUAUUGAGUAACCUGACGAAAAAAGAAGCAGAUGUGACACCAGUAACAGAUUUACCUUUGUCACAUCCCAAGGCCCCAACUUCAAGUUCAAGUAAAUUAUCAGUAAGACCCAUUUUAACUCCCAUAGGAAAUCACCUGCCCCAUGGUGAGACCAAAGGCCAGCAGCUACAUUUGGGAAACUGAUGAGACUACUGCAAGCUCAUCAUGGAAUGCUCUCAUUACAGAGGACAUUGCAAAGGCAGGACUGUAAGCGGCUUUGCCUUGGUGCCGGCACUGACUGUGACAGUGGAGGGGGCAGGGUAACAGUGGGUUAAGAGAGCUAUUGGAGUGCAUGGCAUGUAGAAUUUCACUCUUGAUGUUCCUGCUCCAAGUGAGGCUCAUUCAGGCUCUUGUGGCCAAGUCACCUCUCUGAUCCAACUUUUUCUGUGUAGACAGAUGAAAAAUGUGCCAUGUCACUCACUGAAUCCCAACAGAAAUCUCACCUAAGUGUGUUAAAAGCACAUGAAACUCGUGUCAUUGAAGUAAAAUUUAAAAAUCGUCAGUCUUCUAGAUAAACCUGCCCGAACAUGCCCACAUAAUUAGUGAACAAACAUGAGGGAGAGAUAGAACCUUGACAUGGAGUUUGUAUCAUAAGUAAUGUGAAAACUAAAUUCAGCCUGACUGACCCCAGGGAGAUAAAAACAAAAUAGAUGUGAGCUUCUGUUGUGAUAUAGCAGAAGGAAAUAAAUGUAACAUAGGGCUUUAUCUGGUGGGCCAAGUGAGAAAACGCAGAGUGGGGAAAUGGGCAGAUCUCUGAAAGGCACCAGAAUGCUUCAUUAUAGCAGGAUUUGUGAGCAGCCAUGGACUCCUUCUUUAGCAAGGGACUUCUGUGUACAAUAAAUUUGAAUACUUCAGACUUCAGGGGACUUGGGACAUAUAUGAAAAGCAGAGGAAUUUGAGGCCAUUUAGGCACAUGUAGGUAUCUGGAAUACCUUUAAAAAAAUCUACCCUGGCAGUUGAGUGAGUGUAUACAUAUCUGUUCUUUAAGAUAAAACCAUAGAGUCCAACAGAGGAACUAUCUGUAGCAUGGCUGUUUAGCAUCAGUUUGGGAGAAGGCAGAGAAAAUAUGAUAUGCCAAGUUCUGAUCUCAGUUUUUACAGUUUUUGUAUAGAAUAGCAAACCACUUAAUUUUGUGCUUAAGACAAAGCACAAUAUAAAGGCAUACAAACAAGCUCUGCACUUGCGGUUCUUCCAUAUUGAAGGCAGGGUGGCAGAAAACUCUUAAGAUGUAUAAGGUGGCACUCAAUGAGUCACAGAAAGGAAUUUUGGAACAUUUUUUCUUGCGGAUGUAGUGAACAAAUUAAACUUUCCUAAAGAUCCCUACCUCUUUUUAAAUACUCCGUGGGUCCUACAUCAGUAAUUUAAUCCUCCUAAGUGUCAGUUAUCUUAACUGUGAAAUAUGCAAAAAUGUUAAUUCUCCAAGUGUUGUCACUGGAUAAUGAAACAGCUCUUUGAACAGAAGAUACCAUAAAAGCUUAUUAUUUUAAAUAAUAGGUAUGUAUUCCUUCUUAAUGGUGAAUUAAAUGUAAUUGCUUUGCCUAAGGAAAAAACAAACCAACUUGUUCUGCUGAUAUAUUUCACUUACUGUUAAAGAACAACUGUCUGUGUAAAGCCUGAUUCCCUCAGGUGCAGAUUUAUGACAGCAGUGACUGCUGGGAUUAAGUAUCCUUGUAUAUUUGGCCCCAUGGCUUGCCUCAGUACCUGGAACACCUCUGGGAAGAAAGCUGUACGUGGCUGAGUUAAGUCACACUGUUCUGUUAUGAAUUACUCAGAACUGGAUUCUGAAAAAUAGAUAAUGUUAUCUGAAAUCUAGUCUUUUUCCUGUCUGUUAAUUUGAGACCAGUGAGUAUUGCAUUAGAAUUGCACUAGUGGUGUCUAUUGAGUUUGGACUUGUAAACUGCUUUUUAAAGUUAGGCAAACUUCUAUGAAUUAUUAAUGUCUGUGUCUUUCCCUUACUCCAGAGCCUUGUUUAACUGUCUAUGAAAUUGGUUAACAAUGGAGAAAGUAAAAUACAGUCUCUGGAAUAUUCACUGAAAGGAAAUGCUUUUGGAGUGACACAGAUCUCCAAAAUAAUUUCCCAUUAAAUGCUAUAAACAUUUAUUUCAAUAUUUAUUUAGCAUUAUCACUAUCACUGCAAGAAACCCCAAAGUUUAAGGAUCACAAUGGCAUUUUACUGUCUCUCACCUUUAUCGUACCAUACCUAGCAGCUGCAUAACAUUAUGUAGACAUUAUUCAAUGAAACACAAUAGCAAUGGCAUAAGAUAGAUAAAUAUUACUCUUAUUACAAAGCCAAGAAAACAGAGGCAAAAAUAUAACAACUGACAAGGUCACAGGAGUCAAUGUAUUAUUUUAUAGUAAAUAAAUACUUUCUUCUCAACUCUUUGAUACACAAGGUACAUCUCAUGAUAACAAACUGCUAUUCUUUGAGGCCAGUGCCCAGGAUGGCUUCCUAACAGCAGCCAGACAGCAACAGUGGAGAAACUACUUGCAGUGAUCCAAAUGUCAUUGUAGUAGUCAUGUUGACCAUGGAUGUCUUCUAGACAUCUCUUCUGUUAGAGAGGAUCCAGAGGAGGGCCACAAAGAUAAUUAUAGAGCUGGAGCACCUCCCCUACAAAGACAGGCUGAGGGAGCUGGGCUUGUUCAGCCUGGAGAACAGAAGGCUGCAGGGUGACCUCAUUGCAGCCUUCCAGUACCAAGAAAGCUAACAAACAGGAGGGGAGUCAACUCUUUACAAGGGUAGAUAAUGGAAGGACAGGGGGAAAUGGUUUUAAGUUGAAGGAGGGAAGAUUUAGAUUGGUUAUUGGGGAAGUUCUUUACUGUGAGAGUGGUGAAGUGCUGGAACAGGCUGCCCAGAGAGAUUGUGGAUGCCCCAUCCCUGGAGGUGUUCAAGGCCAGGUUGGAUGGGGCUUUGGGCAGCCUGGUCUAGUAUUAAAUGUGGAGGUUGGUGGCCCUGCCUGUGGCAGGGGGGUGGAUCUUGAUGAUCCUUGAGGUCCCUUCCAACCCAAGCCAUUCUAUGAUUCUGUGUCCUUCAGUACAACAUCUGAAUGUUUCUUGAACACCUGCAGGGAUGGUGACUCCACCAAUUCCCUGGUCCUUUCAUUCCAGUGUCUAAUUACUCUUUCAGCAAAGAAGUAUUUCCUAACACCCAACUUGACCCUCCCCUGGAGCAACUUGAGGCCAUUCUCUCUAGUCCUAUUGCUAGUUACAUGGGAGAAGAGGCUGCCCCUCACCUUGGCACAACCUCCUUUCAGGUAGUUGUAGAGAGCAAUAAGGUCUCCCCUGAGCCUCAUCCAGUCUAAACAAUUCCAGUUUCCUCAGCUGCUCCUCAUAAGACUAAAUAAUAUUAAAAUGUCCUUUCUUUGAAAUAUCUUUAAAUGGAUCAAGGGGGAGAACAUUACCCCCUAGAUAAAACUAUUCCUGGACAUAUCCCAGGAUUUCUGGGAUCACCCUACUACAGGCUUGCAGUUAUAAGUGAGAAAUGGGGUCCUCUGUGAGUUAGCGAAAAUAUUUCUUCCCUGUCCCACAUGGCACCAGCUAACCUCAUCCACCAUGGCAUGGCCAUUAUUGAAUACUUUAAAUCAAGCAGAACUAUCAAACAAUACUUCAGAAAAUGAAAAUCAACUACUACAAGAUCAUACUGAAAAAUUAGAACAACUUGGCACAUUAACAGGAGAUAAAUCAAGCCUAAUUUUCCCUAUAAAACAGCUCCACAACAUUACAUUAAAAAAUAUCCAGGCUCCUAAAUCAAUGGACCUGGAUGAUUCAGAAAACAAAACUUCAAGGUUGGAUCUUGAAGCUCCAUCUGAAAUGGGUCCCUUUGAGAUCCAACGUAUAAUAGCUCAGAAAACAAAGAAAAUACAGGAUAGACCAGCAGGGGUGCCCCCUGAUCAAUGGCUCCUUGCCCAAACUCAUUUGCAUGUAGCAGCUCACCCUUAUACAGCAACAGAAUGAACGGACUUACUACAGCGAUUCCAGCAGAAGCCUAGAGAAAGUAUACCAGCCUGGCUUCUAAGGUUAUGGGACUCACGGACAGAAAGUGUUGUGGUUAAUGGACCAGAAAUUUCUAAGUUGGCAUUCAUCACCUUAGACCCUGCCCUCAGACAAAGAUUAUAUGCCACCAUUCAACAUCUGGAUGAAAACCAUUCAUUAAUAGAUUAUAAGACCUGCACAUAGCCCAUAUAAUUCCCCCAUAUGGCCAGUGCAAAAGUCAGAUGGCACGUGGAGAAUGACAAUAGAUUAUAGAGAAUUAAAUAAGGUCACACUGCCUGUUCAUGCAGCCAUACCCAAUAUUGCCUUUCUAACAGACAUAUUGAGUAGGGAAAUAAAAACCUACCAUUGUGUCCUAGACUUGGCAAAUGCAUCCUUCAGUAUUACAAUUGCUGAAGAAUUGCAAGACCAGUUUGCAUUUACAUGGGGAGACAGGCAAUGGACCUUUCAGGUACUGCCAUAGGUGUAUGUACAUUCACCAACCUGGCAAACUGGGGAAAAAAAAAUUAAUAAUGUUAGCUUGUAUCACUGUACUGAUGAUCUCCUGUUGACUUCUGACUCACUGGAGGCAGUUGGACAAGGGGCACAUUCAUUGACUACCUAUCUGCAAGAAGCAAGGUCUGGGCCAGUCUGUGAAAUUCCUGGGGGUAAUUUGGUCAGGAAGGACCAAAGGACUACCCAGUGCUGUCAUAGAUAAGGUUCAGGCAUUCCCAGUCCCUACAACACCACAGCAGCUGCAGGAGUUCUUAGGUAUAUUGGGAUAUUGGCGUUUCUUUGUACCUCAUUUAGCACAGCUGCUGAGACCAUUAUACAAACUCACAAAGAAGGGGCAACUAUGGGACUGGGGGAGAAUGGAACAGGAGGCUUUCCAACAGGCAAAACUGGCUGUUAAACAGGCCCAGGCAUUGGGUAUAUUUGAUCCUACCCUCCCAGCUAGGUUGGAUGUUCAUGUCACUCAGGAUGGGUUUGGCUGGGGCCUGUGGCAAUGCCAAGUUUCUGCUUAGACCACCACUGAGUUCUGGUUUCAGGUCUGGCAUGGAGCAGAAGAAAGAUACUGUGUGAUUGAAAAACAGUUAUUGGCUGCUUAUUCCGCAUUAUGGGUGGUAGAGCUAAUAACCCAAAGAGCUGAGGUCAUAGUUUAUUCAACCAUGUCAGCCAUGUUUGGCUGCCAAUUCAGGGGUGAGUGAAAGAUCUGACUCGUCUUCCUAAGACAGGAGGUGGCCCAAGCACAAACGGUGGCAUGAUGGGUUACCAAUCUCAACCAGAGGAGUAGUCUGUCUUCAUCACCACUGAAAGAAGAACUUCCAUAGAUCUUAGACCCAGUGACAUAUCACAGUGAUGCACUGAAAAAAAACAUUGGUUGAUCCACCUGAGAGGAGUCCCAAUCAGGAGGGGAAAUAUCCCUUUCCUGAAGAUGCCUGGUAUAUGGAUGGAUCCAGCGAGGGCAACCUGAGCAAGUGGAGAGUGGUAGCAUACCAUCCCUCCACUGAAACAAUCUGGUUUGAACAGAGGGAUGGUCAGAGUAGCCAAUGGGCAGAACUGCGAGCUGUGUGGAUGGUUAUAACCAAGGAACCUGGUGAAAGUAUCCUGCACAGAUAGCUGGGCUGUGUACUGGGAGCUCACUCUUUGGAUUGCACAGUGGGCCACCCAGGACUAUCCACGCCUGACAAAUUUGGGGCAGAGAUACGUGGUUAGACAUACGGAAUGUGGUUAAACACAGGACCAUACAUGUCUACCACAUUUCUGGUCACCAACACCUACAGUCACCGGGAAAUGAUGAAGUCAACACACUGGCCCAAGUCCGAUGGAUUGAGAAUUCACCAUCUGAGAACAUUGCCCACUGGCUACAUCAGAAGCUGUGGCAUGCUGGACAAAAGAUAAUGUGGGCAGCUGCUAAAGCAUGGGGGCUGCCCAUACAACUGGCAUUGCCCUGGCAUGUCAAGACUGCGACGCUUGCUCCAAGAUGAGACUGAGAUUGUUGCCUGAAAUAACAGUUCAUCUUGCUAGAGGACACAAUCCUCUCCAAUGAUGGCAGGUCAGUUACACUGGGACCCUCCCUCAGUCUGAAGGGGUGAGAUGUGCCCUGACCUGCGUUGACACCACAAGUGGGCUAAUGCAGGCCUAUCCAGUGCCAAGCAAGAAUGAACCAGGCAUAUACCAUCAAGGUGCUCACCAAGUUGAUGAUCACCUACGGGACACCUCAACUUACCAAGAGCGACCAAGGGACUCAUUUUACUGGCACUAUGAUACAACGCUGGGCAGAAGAAAACAACAUUGAACAGCGAUUCCACCUGCCAUAUAAUCCAAUGGGGGCAGGCCUUAUUGAACGCUAUAAUGGUAUUCUUAUGACUGUUCUGAAGACAGACUCAGUCCCUGCAGGGGUGGACAAAGAGACUCUAUGAAACCCUGUGUGACCUAAAUGAAAUGCCUAGAGACAGCAGACCCAGUGCCUUGAAAAUGCUACAGACAACAUGGGCCUCCCUGCUUAAGAUCCAAAUGACAGGCACCUGAUCGAUAAUCAGGUAAGACCUCAAAUUGGCAAUGAAAAUAACUUUCUCCUCCCUGCCCCUGAGAAUCUAGAACCAGGAACCCAUAGAAGAAAAUGGCCUUGGAAGGUGCAAGUAAGACCAAAGUGGUGUGGCAUACUUGCACCUUGGGGGAGAUUAUUGGAGGUGGGAGGCUCGGUAGUUCCUCUGGUAAUCAGUACAUGGCCUUCUGACAUUGUGGUCAGCACUCCGGUGUUCAUUGGUAAGGGGACCCUCAUCAUGUCCCUGUGGCAGAUCAGGACUCCCCCUUUGGUGCCUGAUAUAGUUAUGCAGCUACAGAUAUCUGGCCAAUGGGUGUGGUACAGACGGCUGGGACAUAAACCCAGUGCAAGCCGAAGUGUUAACCCAGGAUAGGAAUAUGGCCUGUAUCUUGCCCUGGAGGGCAGACCUUCCCCUCCUGAUACCACUGAAACAUCUGUAUUACUCCCCGUGAGUAUUUUAGUCUCCAGGAUCACCGGAAGAAAUGAAAUGCCAUUGAAGUGUUUCACUGUCGCUGUGAGAUCAAGCAUGACACCGGGUGAUGGCCUCUAUAGAUGGAACAUAAGAUAGACCUGCACCAAACAACUGCAUGCCUCCAGUAACACCACUGAAUACUGGCUCAUGAAAGAACACAACCUUCGGCUGUGAAUCGACCAUUGAUCAUCUUGUGUCAACCUGCAUUGCGAUGGGCAGUUGUACAAGUAUCAUGGUGCAUCGGAUCUUUGUAUUAGGGAAGGCUCACCCUUCAACCAGCCCAAUCAUUGGUUCAUGCUGUGAACCUUAGAUCUCUUAGAUCUCAUUUCUUUGACCUUUUGGAUUGUAACAACCAGUAUAAUAAAACAGAAGGCAUUACUUUCAUAGCAGCCCUCAUACAAUCAGGCACAUUAGAGAUGCCUCCAUGCCAAACAGAAAAAUAGCACAGCCACACACGUUAUCACCACAGCUCCUGAAUUACUGAGAAGAUAAUUAAUGAUCACAGAAACAGACUUAAUCAUGGGAGAAUCUUCCUGAGAUCUGCUCUUCCUGACAAUAUUGUCAUGAGUUUACCAGUGACCAUGGCACUCCCAGCCUACAUUUACAAUAUCAGGAAAUAUCAGAAAAUGACAAUGUCUAGGAAAUUAAAUCGUGCUAGAUUGGAUUCGGGUUUUAGUUGUACAGUCAUAAAUCAGGAACAAUUGAUGGAUGGAGCCCAGUUCUGCUGCUCUGAAAUUAGUCGAUGAUAAGAAUUAAGUCCCUGUGGUUUGAUGGAUUGGUGCUUCCUGCCCUUCUGCUCCAGCACAGGGACACAGAAAGAACCAAGCGUCAAUGUUCGCUUCUGAGAAACAGGGAAUCUAAUACCCAUAAAUGCCAGCGGAAGGAUCUUCACACAAGGUAUUGCACAUAGGGCUCAGAUGAACAUCCUACUCCAAUCUCUUUUUUGAGAAUAACCGACUUGUUUAAGAAAGUACAUUUGUCAUUCAUCACAAAAUCAUUUCUGGGACAACCUUUGUUAGCUGCGAAGACAAAGAAUGAGUCCUUCAUCCUUAGUGCAGCAAGAUGAAAUUUGGUCUCUACAACUUAGAGAUUCUGGUGUCUCCUCCCCAGCUGUAACGGGGCCAAGCCAGCUUCUUUCUCUCCUGUAUUCCUUAUCCGAGAGGGUCCAACGUGAUGUGACAGCUGGUCAGGAGUGGUGGAGUAGAGUUGUUUAUGUUUCAGAUCAUUCAAGAGGCAUCAUGACUGAAAGUUCUUGCAUUCUAUUUAUUAUAUUAUUUCAAGUAGUACGUAUUUUAUAGAUCACAUCUCCUUUUAUAGAUCAUAUGAUAUUUAUAUACAUAUUCUAUUAUUCUAAUAUGAAUGCCUCCCUGAAAUCCAUAUGUGUUUCUCAGUCCCCUUUUCAGUAAUAAGAAAGCCCAAUCCCUUCCCACAUAGAGAAAUGCUACAUUUCAGUCUGUUGGUACCUGUAACACAUUGCUCUACCCCUGCGUCAUGUUUUUAACAGCCUGUAACCCAGGAUAAGUAGCUAGAGCAGCAGGCUAGGAGCUGGUACUGACAUGUGGACUUGGCUUUUUGCUGCAUUCAAGUAAAGUCUUUGCUCCUCUUUCACCCUAGCUUUAAUUGGUGUAAUUUGUGUAAUGAACUUCAAAGGUCAUAGCCUUUCCUGUAUUUUCUCAGCUCUUUCUGCUCAUCCAAAUUGUUGAUACAGCUUAGACCUCACAGUUGAGAUAUGGCAAUUUACACAUAGAAAUAAAUAUAUAAAUAAAAAUAAGGAAAAAUGAAAACAAAGGUGUGUAACUCUUACCUUUAUAGAAUAUCAGGGCAAGCAUCUGCUUCCAAAGCAAGAACAUUGUUUAACUAAAAAUGAGCACAUGGAAAUGAGUGUUUUUCUCCUAAUUACUGUGAAAAUAUGUGUUACUAAAGCUUUUCCUCAUUAACAUUUUCUCUUUGACUAGACAAUCAGGAAAGGAUAGUAUCUAUGUAAUAAAACUCACUUAUCACUGUUGCACAUUGUAUGAAAUACUUGCCACUGGAAGAGUAUUUUUUAUGUAUCCUCCACUCAGCAGCCAAAACUAUUUUUGAUCAGAUUUUUUUCUGCCCCAAAUUAAAAACAAUGUGAGCUAUUUUCCAUAAACCAAUGAAAUACAUCAUCCAAAGCUGUUCACCAUUCUUCAACAGAACAGACCAGGUGUAGCCUUUCUUAUUACAGUUUUGCUUCUGAAAGUGACUUCAUAAUAAAAGUUCUUGAAGAUUUUUAUGAAACUUAGGGAAAAGGGGAAGUGCUUGGCUCACUUCACUGUUAGUGAUGAAAAUCAAUGCCAGGACAAGCAUAACUUCAAAGAAUGCCUCAAGAACCCACUUUAUAAUAAAAAGACUAUGAAAGACACUCAAAUUCUUCAUCUGGGUAGGAAAAAAAAAAAUAGAAAGAAGGCAGAGAGUGAAAGGGAGAUUUCCUUUCACCAUACAAUGAGAGAUCACUUCACACUUUCCCUUGGUAUGUUAGAUGGUCAGUUGUAAAGCCAUGUUAUGUGAAUAGAUGGAGGUAAAGGAUCUCAACUUUCACUGGAACUGGGUGAUGCCUGGGAUGAUGGGCAAGACAGGGCCCCACCACAGGGGCUAACAGCACAACUCCCUGCAACCUGCUGGGCAGGCAGCAAUACUCACAAGAGAAUCUCAAUAGGUUCUCAGCAGACUGGCACCUAAAGCCUCAGACUUGUAUAGGCACUUCACAUUUAAGAGCAUGGCUAAUCCAAUCACCAGCAGAUUUGAAGCUGUGUACCUCUCAUAUAGCAUAUUUUUGUAGGCUUAAAGUCAAUCUUCUCAUCAGCCCUCCGUCUGUGCAAGCAGGCAGAUUCCUUCCUUGAACACACAGAAGUAACCCUCCUUACUCAGCCCAUCAAUUUAACAGCUUUAUACCUUCAAAUCAGUUAAAUGGAUGCAGCACAAGAAGGUCAGAGUAGUGUGGUGAGUGGUGGGAGGCAACUGUUCCAUGCUGGCAAAAAAAAAAGUCAUUCAGAAUGCUGAAGGCUCGGGUCAGUCUGUCUUUCAGAGAGCAGAGCAGACUGCACACGUGCAACCUACCAGUAAUUUCCCUUUCAUAUCCCACAGUCCUUGUUCCUGUUGGCUAACCAUUUCUGUCCAGUUGUAACCUCACGUUGUUAUACAUCCUUUUGCCUUGCAUUCAAUGGGCCCCCAUCAGCAUACCUGAACACGUGGUCUAUAUUAUUUCUGAUAUUGGUGUGAGUGGCGCAGCCAGGUCUGAUUUAGCCCCUGCCUGUGUCAGUACACAAUCUCACACAUACCCCUUCCUUUCUUUUGCUCAAGAGGCUGAAGCAAAAACAAAUGCAGAGGGUGCCAAGCACUCCUCAGAGAGAGCACUGACUAGGUAUGCCUCCUGCUUGAGUGCAAAACUGCCAGUUACAGAAGAGUGCAAUCUGAUCCAAGGAGGCUUUACAUUUAAUUUUGUUCUCAGCUAUCUGUUCUACAAAAUCCCAAAUGGAGUCUUCCUUCUUUCUUUAGUUUUACCAGUUCACAGGAUCCUUUAGCAUCCAACAUAACAGCAGUGCUUCCUGUGCUCUGGAAAUAGAACAGUCCUGAUAGGCAAGUCCCUUUUAGGGUGUCAAGGGGACCAUCAUGAAGCUGUGAGCUCCUAGCUUCUUGCCAACACUCUGAAUCAGUCCUAAACUCCAGGAAGAACCAGCAUCUGAAAACCCAGUGGAGACCACAGGGAGGUGUUUUUUUGGCUCUCCUUCAGCAUUUGCCCUGUCAUUGUUCACCUUAUGUGUGGAACAGACCUUGGAUGAGGUUUAAAUCACUUGUAUGAGUCCCACCUGAGUUCCCCUCUGUAGCUGCUUGAGGUUAAAUAGGACUAGAUGGCCCUUGUCUUCCAGGAUACUGCAGUCUUUGAUGUGUCUUUGACAUUUUCACACAGCCUAUUUGUUACGUUUAACAUGUUCUUUUCUGUCCGGUUCUCUUAGAAUUUUUUUUGUAUGUUUUUUUUUUCUUUGAACUUGCAUGUGUCAGUGAAGAUUUUGUGCUAACAAAAAAAAAUCUCUUAAGUUUUCAAGUGUCAUCAGGCUGCAAACUUUGGGAUUGCCUUUGGUGAUGCAGAUCUGGGCUCUGCUACUAAAACAGGAAGACAGAUGUCUUCAUCAUUCUGAACCAAAAUUUAAAGUUGAAGUGGAGAAGAAAGAGGAUUUGCAGUGAGUGUUUCCUCUCUCCUCUCCACUUAAGACCAAAAUGAACUUCUCUAAAGAGAUCACAGUACUUUGAUCUAGUAGAUAAAUUUUGAUUUGGGCAGAGGACAGCACUUAGAAGCAGGCACUCCCAGCUGCUGGCAUGCUGUUAACUUGAUGUGUCCUGAGGAAUUCAGAAAGUGAUAACACUGCACUUAGACUAGAAAAAUCAACAAAACCAAAACAGGUUCCCCAACAUCAGGAUUAAAUCAUUGAAGGAAAAGAGAUAGUUAUUACUUGUAGGUGAUUCCUCUCUGCAGAGAACUGAAUGCCUGAUAUUAUGAGCAGAUCCUCUUGGAGAAGUCUGCUGCCUCCAUGGAACUUACGUGAAGGAUGUCACCAGGAAACUACCCAGCCUGGUAUAACUGACAGACCUCUACCCUUUACUGCUUUUCCAUGUGGGGAGUGAUAAAGCAGCUACACAUGGGUUUAGGGCAACCAAGAGGGUCUUCAGGGCCUUGAGAUGCUGGCUGAAGGAUUUGAGAGUACAGAUGAUCUUUUCUUCUCUGCUUCUUGUAUUGGGUAAGGGCAUUGAAACUGAUGAGAGGAUGUUAUCUUUAAAUACCUGGCUUUGUGGCUAGUGCCACUGCCAGAACUUUGUUUUUUUCUUUACAACCAAAUGGCCUACAAGGCACCAGGUUUGUGGGUACUGGAUGGAGUUCACCUUUCUUCUUGGGAAAAAGCUAGUCGGGUUCAUUGGGAGGGCUUUAAACUAAGUCUGAACAGGACAGGAGGGACAGAGAGUCUUUGCAUGAUAUUGCAUAACUAUUUUAGAGGGACAGGAUGUUAGCAGAGGCCCUUGAUCUGCUCCCAUGAGAGGUGCUGGCAACACUGCAGCACAUAUGAAAUUCUAUGAUGAUGAGGCAGGUACUGCUGGGGCAAUAGAAGGCAAUGAGGAAACUCAAGAAAUACUGAAAAAGAAUGAAUAGUUAAAAUAAACCUCUAGGAAGGUGACAAGGCCUGCUGCUCAGCUGAAGUGCCUCUACUCCAAUGUAUGCAGCUUGGAAAACAAACAGGAGGAGCUGGAAGCCACUGUGCUACCAGAAAACCGUGAUAUAGUUGUCAACGAAACCUUGUGGAAUGAUUCCCAUGACUGAGUGUGGCUAUUGAUAGCCACACGCUUUUUGGAAGGAACAGACAAGGAAGGAGAGGAUGGGGUCUACGUGAGGAGGCUGUCUACAUCAGGAAAAGAACAGAAUGUGAAGAGCUGUCCCUAGAAGGCCAUCAUGAGCAAGUCAAAAGCCUAUGGGUGAUAGUUGGAGAUUGAGGCAGCAAAGGGAGCAUUGUGGCUGGUGUUUACUACAGACUACCUGAUCAAGCAGAGCCUGUCAAUGAAGCCUUUUAACUCCAGUUACAGGAGGUGUUGCAAUCGCAAGUGCUUGUCCUUCUGGGGGGCUUCAACCUCCCAGACAUCUGCUGGAAAAGUAGCACACCAAGCUGUAGGCGAUCCAGAAAGCUUCUGGAAUGCAUUGAGGAUAACUUAUUUAGCCAAUUAAUAGAUGGCCCCACCAGGGGGGAUGCAAUACUGGACGUAUGUUGCUCACCAAUGCAAAUGAAAUGAUUGGUGACAUCUGGAUGAGAGGCUGCCUGGGCUGUAGUGAUCAUGCUAUGGUGGAGUUCAUGCUCCUGAGGGAUAUGAGACAGUCAAAAAGUAAAAUUGGGACGCAAAAUUUUAGGAAAGCUAACUUCAGGGAGUUAGUAGACAAAGCCCCCUCGGAAACUGUCCUCAUGGGCAAGGGUGCAGAGCAGAGCUGACAGAUCUUUAUGGAGGCUUUCUUAAGGGUGCAAGAGCUCUCCAUCCCCAGGUGUAGCAAAUCAGGAAAGGAAGGCAAGAGACCAGCAUGGCUGAACUGGGACCUGCUGGUCAAACUGCAUAGCAAGAAGGAAAUGCACACACAGUAGAACCAGGGACAGAUACCAUGAGAAGAAUAUAAGGAAGCUGCUUAGGCUAUGUAGAGAUGGGGUCAGGAAAGCCAAAGCCCAGCUUGACCUGAGCUUGUCAAGGGGUGCCAAAAAGAACAAUAAAGGCUUCUACAGAUACCUCAACCAGAAAAGGAAAGUCCAAGGGGGUGUAACCCCUUCAGUGAGUGACAAAGGCAAGCUGGUAACAACAGACAAGAAAAAGUCUGAGAUACUCAACAACUUUUUUGCCUUGAUCUUCUCUGAUAACUGCUCAUCACACAGCCCUCAAAUUAAUGGUUUGGAAGGAGGGGACUGGGGAAGCAAUGCUGUGAGUGAAGAUCAGGUUUGUAAUCACUCAAGGAAGAGGAAUAUCCACGAGUCUAUGGGUCCUGAUGAGGUGCAUCCCAGUGUGCAGAGGGAAUUAGCUGAUGUAGUCACCAAGACACUCCCAGUGAUAUCUGAAGUCAUGGCAGUCAGAUGAAGUACCUGGUGACUGGAAAAAAGGCAACAUCAUACCCAUUUUUAAAAAGGAUAAAAAGGAUGAGCCAGGGAAUUAUCAACUUGUCAAUAUCACCUGCAUGCUGGGAAAGAUCAUGGAGCAGAUCCUCCUGGAAGCUAUGCUAAAGCACAUAGAAGACAGGGAGGUGGUACAGGAGAACCAGCAUGUCUUCACCAAAAGGCAAGUCCUACUUGACCAACCUAGUGGCCUUCUGUGGUUGUGUAACUGCAUCAGUGGACAAAGAAAGAACCACCGAUGUCAUCUAUUUGGACUUCAGUAAGGCCUAUGUCAUGGCAUCCCACAACAUCUUUAUCUCCAAAUUGGAAAGAUAAUGGAUUUGAUGGAUGGACUGUUCAAUAGAUGAGGAACUUGCUGCAGGAUCAAACCCAGAGAGUGGUGGUCAAUGGAUCAAUGUCUGGAUGGAGAUCUGAGCCGAGUGGUGUCCCUCAGGGUCAGUGCUGGGAUUGAUACUCUUUAAUAUCUUUUUCAGUGACACUGACAGUGAGAUUGAGUGCAUCCUCAGAAAGUCUGCAAAUGACACUAAGGUGUAGGGUGUAGUUGACAUGCCAGAGGGACAGGAUGCCCUCCAGAGGGAUCUAGAUAGGCUCAAGCAGUGGGCCCAGGAGAACUUCAUUAAGUUCCACAAAGCCAAGUGCAAGGUUGUGCACCUGGGUCAAGACAACCCCCUCUACCAAUACAAGCUGGGGGAUGAAAGGAUUGAGCACAGUCUUGCCAAAAAGGACCUGGGGGUACUGGCGGAUGGCAAGCUGGACGUGACUAGCAACGUGUCUUCGCAGCCCAGAAAGCCAACUGUAUCCUUAACUGCAUCUAAAGAAGUGUGGUCAGUAAGUUGAAGGAGGUGAUCCUGCCCCUCUACUCUGCACUGAUGAGAUCUCACCUGGAGUACUGUGUCCAGGUGUGGAGUCCUCAGUACAGGAGAGACAUGGACCUAUUGGAGCGUGUCUAGAGGAGGGCCACAAAAAUGAUCGAGAGGAUGGAAUACCUCUCCUACAAGGACAGACUGAGAGAGCUGGGGCUUUUCAGUGUGGAGAAGGCUCCGAGCUGACCUGAGAGCAACCUUUAAAUAUCUAAAGGGCAGCUAACAGGAAAGAAGGGGACAGACUCUUUAGCGGGGUCUGUGGUGACAGAACAAGGGGAAGUGGUUUCAAACUAAAAGAGGGGAGAUUUAGGUUAGAUAUGCAGAAGAAGAGAUGGCAAGGCACUUGAGCACAUUGCCCAGAGACGUGGUGGAAACCCCGUUCCCAGACAGAUUCAAGAGCAGGCUGGACCAGAUUCUGAGCAACUUGAUCUAGCUGUAGAUAUCCUUGUUCACUGCAGGGAGUUGGAGCACAUGUCUUUUCAAGGUCCCUUCCAACUCUAAAGAUUCUACGAUUCGAUGAUGUGCAAGCAAGAUCCAAAUUCUCUGAAAUCAUUGGCAUCCCUUCUGUUGACCUCAUGUGACUUUGGAUUAUACCUUGAAUUUUCAAAGGAGACAGACUUUUAAAACUGUUUGGAGGAUGAAAAGGCCAGACAAAAGUUCCUGCGUGAUGUUUAGGGCUACAUCUUAAUUUUUCCAUUAUGCUUAUCAGCAGUGUAUAUCAUCAGUAGGUAGUGACAGAGACGAAGACGCUAUGUUUUUGUAGUAGACCAGUGUUUAUCUUUCAAUAAAAAUAAUUUCUUCAGCUUAAUUUCUCAUACUGUCCUCUAUGUUGGUACAGUAAGAUCAAGUAUUCUCUUGCCCUAAAAAGUGGUAUUUGAUAGAAAAUAGCAGAAAAUUUGGACAGUGUACCUUCAGCUAAUUACGUCAGUGGUAGUGAUAUUCAACUGCCAUGGGGCAAUUUGCUGGAAAAAGAAUGAGAAGAACUGCACAUCAAAGGCCAUCAGUGUGAGGAUAAAGCCUACAGUGAGAAGGCAGAAGAUCCAAACUAUGGGGGGAGUGGGCUGUGUAGAGCAGCUGGCUGGGAGAGGGCAAGCAAGAAUGCAUGGAGAGGGAAAGUCUAAUACUGGACUCAGAGUGAAAGUGACAGCAAGGAUGCUAAGGUAGAAAGGUAUUUAGCUGGGGAGUCAUUUGAAGUGGUAUUCCUCUUCUUUUCUUUGGCUCUUGCUUCUUGUUACCACUACCCUGUGGGAUCCCAUGGGUCAGCUGAAAGGGGGAACAAACCUGACUGAAAAUGAAUCAUUUUCUGCCCUCCAAGUGUAGCUGUCAAUGGAUCAGACACAGACCUGACUCCCACACAGGUCUUCAAGCAGUGAUGCCUGAACAGCGGGAUGGUACAGUGCAACCAGGGGCUGCUAUCAAUGGUAGUCAGGGACAUCCACAUUCCUACGUUUCACAUACUCCUUCUCUUUGAAAGUAUUAAGGCUAAAACUGCUUACAGAUUGUGAAAUGUGAAAACCUUCCUACUCAUGGGGCUUUAUCCCAGCUAAGAGCUGACCUGGGAUGCGUAUGGCCGCAAGCAGCCUUUUCACAUGUCUCUUGGGUGUUGCUGCUUCUGCCUGAGUCUGUAACUACCCCCUAAGGAGGGAGAGGACAAGAAGCUCUGCACUUUUGAGGCCAUACAAUAGUCAAAAAGGAAUUUAAACUGAAUUCAGUCACUUCUGCCCUGAGUUACCUUUUGCUAGGAGGUCUUUGCCUCACUCAGAGAGGCACGGUGACACUGUUGAAUCUCUCUGCCUUUUUCUCAGGAUGCUGCUUUUAAUAGGAGCUCUGAUGUAAAGAGGUGUGAGCCAAAUGUCCCACACCCAGCCUGAUACACCUAAUUCGCUGUUUAGUGCUUCACUGGGCUCCAUAUAGUGCUGAUCUACUCUUUGCUCUUAAUGCUUCCUACCUUGGACUUAGCUGUUAGCUGUGAGCAUACCUGGAGAUAGAUCACACAGAACACUGAGCACUCCUUCCCUGAAAACAAAAGCUGAAGUGACCCAGGCCAGGCCAAGAGAAGGUAUCCAUGAGGCAGCUGCAGUGGUUCUGCCUACCACUAUGUGCCAGCACAAGCAAGCAAAUUCCAAGAAGAUACUGUCAGCAGCUCUGUGAAUACAGGAGAGUGGUUACAAGCACUAUCUGCCUCAAAGACAGAAGAAACCACAGACUGACUGCAGCCUCACCUUAUGCUUUCUGAUACAUUUGCUGAUGUACUGUAGUACCUGCACGUAGGUAGUUGUGAAAACAAACAUGCAGAUAGAUGCAAAGGCCAUCUGGCCAGGUAAAACAGCCUGUGUUUUAGCAUGCAUGUAAUAACACUCACAUACAAAGGAGAAAGAUGUUUAUUCCUCAAAGCUGUUAUGUAUUGUGUUCUGGGAGAGAAAAAUUUGCUAGGACUGUUUUGCCCCAGCAUGGGCCCCAUAGUUUUACACACUGACUCAAAGGGCAACUCAGGCAAGUCGAUUUCAUAAUUCAGAAGAUUUCCCCCAUUUUUCUCUUUACAUUUUCUCAAUUUUAAUAAUCACCUUGUGCUCAAAUUUCAGACUGUUUGCCUGAAAAAGAGAGAGCAUGUGCUUGCAAAUAUUCCUGCCUGGUUAGUAAAUGAUAAAAUUAACAAGCUUGACUGCUUGAAAAGUGCUCUGCAGUUGAACAUUUCCUAUUUAAUUAACUGUUCGAGGGACAGAUUCUCCAUCUAGUCAAAUGUCCAUUUAUUGUCCAACUGGAAAUGAUGGGAGUUGGGUGGGAUGGUGAGAGGCAAAGAGAAAAUAUUAUGGAUACCUUCCUGUUCAUUCUAUACCAGUGCUUCAUGAGCUGUUUUACCAGCUGAAGUUACAUGUUCCCACCAUAUCUCUUCACUACUCUGUCGUACCCUUGUUUCCAGAGCUGAAGGGAAGGGAAUGGCUCUGAGCUUCAAUCCCACUACUCCAUCCUUCCACAGUAUGAAAAAGCCACAACAACAUGCAGAAUCUGGCCUCUCUUAUCAAUAUCUGAGAUUCUGUGUUUUCAUUAUCAAAUGGUUUUAUUGAAGCUUGGGAUUUGCCAUGGAGGGUGUUCUUUAAAAAUCUGCCAAGUUUACUUUUGAAAAAACAGAUAACCUUACCUUGUUGUUUGUGGUAUUCCUUGUGCUGCUCUUCCCACUUCAGUGGAAGGCUGCUGAGGAUGUUUAGGCAAAGGCUAAGAUAAAUGUACUUCAAUAUCAAAAUAAACAACAGAGGGUAAUGGGCAGCUUAUAUUAUUCAUGCUUAUACUGGAUUGUAGUUUGUGUUUAAAAAGAGCUCUCCCAGAGCUUUUAUCCAGUGACUCCAAAGUUCAGAAGGAUCAAGUCAGCUCUGUCAUGAAUAAUGACUGAUAUUGUCUGUGUGCACACGUGGUUUUGAGCACAGUACUCUAAAAUUACAGCAGGCUGAAGCCUGUGCUGCUAAGAGCUGUUCAGCUUCCCACCACUCCUCAUGUUCUCCGAGUGUCCUAGGAGCACUGCACCUCCUUCAAGGCAGACAGUGGGACUGCCAUUGUUCUUAGCACUGGAAAUGGUCAGAGUGUCUGCAUCUGGAGUAGAGUCAUCCUUGGCUACAUAGAAUCUGUCUCCUGCUUGGGGCUGCUCUGCACAGCUGGAGGAGGAAGAGCUGAUGAUUUUCUACCACAUGAGAGCUCUCAUUCCAGAAGAUAGACACUAACUUUCUUGGUCAAGUCCAUGUGUACUAUUUUGGAAUGCCUUUCUAUCCAGGCAUAUUUUCUGUAAGGGCAGCUAAUGAAGACAGUCAUAGGGAAAUGAUGAUUUCACUGUAAUGAUGUAGAAGAGAGAACAUACAUGUAUUCAUGUGCAGAUGAUGAAGAUAAAGAAGUUACACAAAGUCUCUCUUUUGAGAUGGUAGCAUGUUGCCAGCAAAUAAUAAAUAAUAGCAACUGUAGAGUAAUUCUUCCACAGGAAAAUUUAUCCACCACAAAAAUUACCAUAACUAUUCACCACCCUCUGGUCUGGCAGAGCAAAAGCCAGAAGCUUAACAUUCUGCAUAAGGGGAAAAAAGAAAUUCUCCAGGGCAGACUUUUAGUGGUCAGAAUGGGUCGUGGUUUUCCUGCUCUGAAGUGCAAUGCAAAGAAUGAAGAUCAGAGUUAGCCAACUGAUUUUUCAGGCAUAAAGUCUGAGAAGAGCAGAUAUGAAAUCCUGGAUGUUUAAUCUUCAAUUCCAUGUUUUUCUUGCUCCCAUGUAUUUGUUACAUCAGGAGAUUAUGACCAUCCUAAAUCUACCAUCCUAGAAUAAACAACACAAGGCGUAACUGUCUCAGAGAACAAAAUUAAGACAAGAUUGCUAAUUUGAGCCAAAUUUUGGUGGAGAGAUUCACUGCUUCAUAGGUAAGUGAACAGAUAAAACAUACAAUGCUGCUGGUUCAUUAGGGCACAUAACAUAAACUGUUCUAUGGCCUGAUCCUGCAACUCCUAAGGGAUACAAUCUGAGGCCUCAAGUGUCCUGUUCACACUGAAUGGCCCUCAAAGAAGCACCUGAUGUGAGACAUUAGUCUUUACAAUCUAAAGCAAAACUGAGAAAAAACAGUUGCAGAGUUCUGGAAGCAUCAGUGCAAAACACAGCUGUACAAAAUGGGUUCAUGUUUGAUCUUUCUAAGAAGGCACUAAGCAGAUAGUUUACUACUUCCUGACAGACUGAGUGGCUGGCACUACAGGUAUUACCUUUGUCCUGUAUUUCUCUGUUGCCAUAUCCAAAUGUUGAUAGUGUGAUGCUAUUCUACUGCAGGAGAAAGCAGGAGGCAGCAGGAUUCUCUGCUGUGCCUCAGCUCCACAGGGCAGAAUUAAUUCUUACCAGCUUAUCCCUUUGCUUAUACAGACGUAAGUCUGCUGGUCUCAGAGAAUAACUCUGCCAGCUCCAAAUCAAGCCUGCUGACCUCAAUGAGUAUAUCUUAGAGCACAGCAUUGCUGGUGUUGUAGACACUACAGGAUUCAGUGGUGAUAACCUGCUGGAAUUUCUGACAUGGGAAAACCUUCUGUAUUUUAGGGAAUACCACAUAGGUUUAGCUGAUAUGGAAAUAACUUUAAGAAGUCCCUUUCUCUUUUCCUUGUGAUUGUCAGAGAAUCCGGGAAUCUCUCACAGUAUGCUUCUCCAAGAAGCAUGAAACUUCAUUUCAAGGCAGUAUUCUUUUAAGAACAUCUGGCAACUUCUUACAGAGAGAGUUGGCCUUGGUUUUGCAUCCUAGGUCUGUUGUCACAUUAUAGAGAAACUAGUCUCUGUGCUUCUGGAAUUUAAUUGUAUUUCUGCUGAUAAUGAACACUGGUGUUUCUAAAAAUAUGAAAUCUGUGCUGCAGUCCUAGGUAUUCUAGGUAUUAGUCCCUUUGGCGAGAAUGAUAAACAGGACAGAACUUGGAAGAUUUUACUUCUGAAUUAAUUCAAGGAAACUACCUCCAAAACCAGUUCUACUGAACUAGCACAGUCAAGUGUCUGAAAGUGAGGAACCAACAAAUUCUGAUUGUCCCAACCACCUUAAUUCUACUUGCUUGGGAGUAUGAAAAACAGAACAAUAUUUGGCAACAAGAUCUCUCUUACCCUAGAAUCUCAGUCUCUCCGGCACACAGCUUGAGAGGACAAGGAAGGAGAUUUGUUAUUCAUUAUUAUUGUACUAAUUGUUGAUAUCCCCCUGACACAAACAAUUUAGAGAAUUCCAAGUAUUAUGCAGCUCUCCUGCCAGAUCAUAAUAGACUGACACAACUAUAACUACCUAUUUAAGAAGAUUAGCCAGAUUUUAUUUGCCUAAGAAUUUAAAGUGACAAAACCACUUACAACAUCCAGGAAAUGAUCACUAAAAAUUAAUUACUGCACAUUCUUUUAUUAGCUUAAUAUGUAUGUGUCAGUCUAUACAUAAAACAUCGAACACUCAGGCAUCAGACUAAAGCAGCUAUGAAUUGGUAGGCGUCAUUCACUGUUGAGUUCCCUUCGAGUCCUGCUGGCAGCAAUGAGGAGCCCUCCAGGCUUUAUUUUCUAUUUGUGCUGCAGCCUUCUGUUAAAAGGAGGUUGGUUGGUUGCAGAGGAUAAUCUCUCUCAGCAGCUCGGGUUUCAGCACAUAAGUGAGAGCAAGGAAGGGAUGAGAGGAAACACAAAAGAGCAGGUAGAAAACUCAUCUCUGUGUGAAACCUCAGCCACUUUUCUUAUUGAUAAUUUUUUGCACCACACUAACAGUCAGAGGCACCUCCCAAGUUCACUGACGUGCUGUGCCAGGGAGGAGAUUCAGAAUUCUCACCACUCGCCCAAUGACAAGGAUUAAAUUGCCCACGAGCUUUUAGCCUACAGACCCCCACGUCCAAACCAACCGGUGUUUCUCUUCCGUCCUCCGCCG
This 27922-nucleotide long non-coding RNA is filed under the name Gallus gallus (chicken). RNAcentral describes it as "lncRNA (ENSGALG00010025934.1)". The record is from RNAcentral. Lineage: Eukaryota; Metazoa; Chordata; Aves; Galliformes; Phasianidae.